RNAcentral lists this long non-coding RNA (273 nucleotides) under Hordeum vulgare. RNAcentral's name for it is "long non-coding RNA (HVUL_LNC015858)". The record is from RNAcentral. Lineage: Eukaryota; Viridiplantae; Streptophyta; Magnoliopsida; Poales; Poaceae.
GUACCCAAUAAGUGCCCAUCAAGUUCCUUCUGUUCUACAGCCAGCAAUGCCCUCCUGGACCAACUCAAGUAAUUUGUGGCCCUCUCCAGCUUUAUGUCCAAGGGUGACAUUUCGAGCUUCUGAGCCACUUCGUGUCGAGGAACGAUGGCCCCAGAGUUGGACUCUGCGAGGAUCUUAGCGAGCUUCUCAAAAGCCGCAGCAAGCGCAUUUGGUUCAGCCAUCUCCGAUCCGGUAACCAGCAACAGCAGCCCUCAGCAGCACAGCCCUACAGCN